Molecule: ribosomal RNA, 340 nt
Filed under: uncultured bacterium
Lineage: Bacteria
Description: partial 16S ribosomal RNA
Rfam family: Bacterial small subunit ribosomal RNA
Source: RNAcentral
CCUACGGGAGGCUGCAGUGAGGAAUAUUGGUCAAUGGCCGGAAGGCUGAACCAGCCAUGCCGCGUGAAGGUCAGUGCCCUAUGGGCGUUAAACUUCUUUUGUGCGGGAGCAAUAAUGGUCACGUGUGGCCAGACGAGAGUACCGUACGAAUAAGCAUCGGCUAACUACGUGCCAACAGCCGCGGUAAUACGGGGGAUGCAAGCGUUAUCCGGAGUUAUUGGGUUUAAAGGGUGCGUAGGCUGGGAGUUAAGUCCGCGGGGAAAUGCCCCCGCUCAACGGGGUGAAGUGCCAUUGAUACUGCCGUGCUGGAAGGCGGAUGCCGGGAGAGGAAUGUGUGGGG